CCCCUCUCAGGAUGGCACCUGGAGAGUUUCCAGUACUCUACUAGCCUUGGCUACAGGAGAGAGAGUCAAGCAGAGGCCUACCCAUUCCAUUCCUAGCUUGGCCAGUGGCUAGCGAGUGAAAGGCAAUCUGCUCCAAGU
RNAcentral lists this small nucleolar RNA (138 nucleotides) under Ornithorhynchus anatinus (platypus). Lineage: Eukaryota; Metazoa; Chordata; Mammalia; Monotremata; Ornithorhynchidae. The record is from RNAcentral.